GAUGAACGCUGGCGGCGUGCCUAAUACAUGCAAGUCGAGCGAACAGACGAGGAGCUUGCUCCUCUGACGUUAGCGGCGGACGGGUGAGUAACACGUGGAUAACCUACCUAUAAGACUGGGAUAACUUCGGGAAACCGGAGCUAAUACCGGAUAAUAUAUUGAACCGCAUGGUUCAAUAGUGAAAGACGGUUUUGCUGUCACUUAUAGAUGGAUCCGCGCCGCAUUAGCUAGUUGGUAAGGUAACGGCUUACCAAGGCGACGAUGCGUAGCCGACCUGAGAGGGUGAUCGGCCACACGGGAACUUAGACACGGUCCAGACUCCUACGGGAGGCAGCAGUAGGGAAUCUUCCGCAAUGGGCGAAAGCCUGACGGAGCAACGCCGCGUGAGUGAUGAAGGUCUUCGGAUCGUAAAACUCUGUUAUUAGGGAAGAACAAAUGUGUAAGUAACUAUGCACGUCUUGACGGUACCUAAUCAGAAAGCCACGGCUAACUACGUG
RNAcentral lists this ribosomal RNA (497 nucleotides) under uncultured bacterium. RNAcentral's name for it is "partial 16S ribosomal RNA". It matches the Rfam family "Bacterial small subunit ribosomal RNA", at positions 28 to 507 of the family's 1533-position model. The record is from RNAcentral.